This 24-nucleotide microRNA is filed under the name Ananas comosus (pineapple). Its description in RNAcentral is "microRNA s0278_c098". Lineage: Eukaryota; Viridiplantae; Streptophyta; Magnoliopsida; Poales; Bromeliaceae. The record is from RNAcentral.
CACCUGAUACCUCUUCACUGAACC